This 301-nucleotide long non-coding RNA is filed under the name Hordeum vulgare. RNAcentral's name for it is "long non-coding RNA (HVUL_LNC007906)". The record is from RNAcentral. Lineage: Eukaryota; Viridiplantae; Streptophyta; Magnoliopsida; Poales; Poaceae.
GUACAUGUAAUGAUCUAGUUUACCCUGCAGCUGGAGGCUUGGCAUCCACCAGAACAGGGAGAUCGAUCCAAGACAAGAUAACACAGUUGGAGACUUACAAGCACACAUAUUCUCUGUCUUCACUAAAAAAAUAGCACAUAAGUAGAACAUGUAUUAGCAAGUGAACGGGUAAUGAAAGAAGAGGUAGUAGCAAGCUAAAAAUUUAGUACGUUAGAACAGGUAAUAGAAGAAGAGGUAGUAGCAAGCUAAAAAUUUAGUACGUUUGAAUCUACAAAGACUCCACUUAUUGUGUGACACUAAA